RNAcentral lists this ribosomal RNA (431 nucleotides) under uncultured bacterium. RNAcentral describes it as "bacterial SSU rRNA". It matches the Rfam family "Bacterial small subunit ribosomal RNA", at positions 28 to 471 of the family's 1533-position model. The record is from RNAcentral.
GACGAACGCUGGCGGCGUGCUUAACACAUGCAAGUCGUGCGAGAAAAUUCCCUUCGGGGGAUGAGUACAGCGGCGCACGGGUGAGUAACGCGUAAGUUAUCUGCCCCUUGGUCUGGCAUAACUCCGGGAAACCGGGGCUAAUAGCAGAUUAUAUCGUAAGAUCAAAGCCUUCGGGCGCCAAGGGAUGAGCUUGCGUCCCAUUAGCUAGUUGGCGGGGUAAUGGCCCACCAAGGCUACGAUGGGUAGCUGGUCUGAGAGGAUGAUCAGCCACAUUGGGACUGAGACACGGCCCAGACUCCUACGGGAGGCAGCAGUGAGGAAUAUUGCGCAAUGGACGAAAGUCUGACGCAGCAACGCCGCGUGCAGGAUGACGGCCCUCUGGGGUUGUAAACUGCUGUAGCAGGGGAAUAACACCCGCCUUUGGCGGGUUG